Long non-coding RNA from Poecilia latipinna (sailfin molly), 3586 nucleotides. RefSeq lists it as uncharacterized. The record is from RefSeq and is a predicted model, not a curated record. The transcript is spliced from 2 exons. NCBI's taxonomy places the organism in Eukaryota, Metazoa, Chordata, Actinopteri, Cyprinodontiformes, Poeciliidae.
CCCCAGUUCUGACUACAACUGGAAUGCAACAUCAGACUUUGAGUUUUAUUUUGAGCUUUUCAACUCCAGUUGAAAGAGAAAAAAGAAACAAAUCUCAAAGGUUAAAGGUGACUGUAUUUACAAUGUGUCUACAAUAGCACUUUUUUGUCAAAUAUGUUGAAAAAAAUCAUUAAAAGCAUGAAUGAGAAAAGCAGUUUGGGGAAUUAAAUGUUGAAAGUAAAGAUAUGAACUCAAUUCAAAAAGGUUUAGAUGGUGAACUAUGAACAUGAAUCAUUAACCAAACUGAACUGAGUUUUAAGAACUAGUUCAUGUUAAGGAUGUGUAGUGAUCCAUCUCCUGGGUUUGUUUCUUGAACAUCUUUGCUUCACAUACACAGACUGUGAGCUGACGAAGAUCUUAAUGUCAUGUCAGUCAUUUAGUCUGCGGGCGGCUCCAUUAACUAACCGCCCCCUAUAGACACAACACCAAUUAACUGGGAGAAAAACUCUCUUCAUCUGGCUCUCAGUCAGCUGGUUUACAUCCACAAAGUCCAUUUCAGACGAGUCUGCAAUUAAUGCUGCCUGCGUGUCUGCUGGUGAAAGGUCACAGAGCUCAGGAGGAGUUAAAGGAAGCUCCACCUGGAUUGUUAGAAGUUAAAGAAAAGCAGCAAAGUUUAGACAUUUGAUUCUUCAGAGGUUCAAACAUCACCAGGAGGAUUCAUCAGAGGAAAUAAAUGCUGUCCGUCAUCGAACUUCCUCCCACAUCUGUUCCAGAGGUUUUUCUUGGCUCCUCUCUUCGCCUUUCUUGUCUCAGUUGUUGCCAAUAAUAAACAAGCUCUGCAGUGGUGGCGCCGCGAUGCUGAAGUGUCUUUACAAGUCGAGUUUAACAACAACACAUUUCAGCAACAAGGCAGUUAAAGAGCUUUACACCAUAAAAAUAUAGUACAAUUAUGAAACAAGCAAUAAACUUUAGAUUUUGUUAAGUCUUCAUCAAAAUGAUGAUCGAUGCUAUGUUCUAUCCUCCUGGUUUUAGUCAGAACUCCAGCAGCACUGUUCUGGAUCUGGAAACACCUGAAAGAUAAACUCAUGGAUGAAUUUCUCUAGAUCUUGAUGGGAUAUUAAUCCUGUAAUACUGGAGAUGUUCUUCAGGUAAUAGAAGGCCAACUUUAUAACUGUCUUUAUGUGGCUCUGAAUGUUUAGAUCCAGAUUUCAGGCCUAAUCUCUAGUUUCUAGCUGAAAUAACUGAAGCUGUAUGCUGACUGUAGAUUGUUUCCUCUCAGUAACUUCAGUUUUGUUUCUGUUUGUUUCUGAGUCAUGGCUCAGCACACAUUAAUUCACAGGAACUGAAGCUUCUUGAACUCAUACUGAAUGAUGUUUUGAUUUAAACUGAUUGUUAUGAUGCUGAUGAGGAGACUUGAUUCCUUCAUCUGGUUGAGGAUCAGUGGACUAGAUCUUUACUGUUUCUGAUGGGACUGUGGGAGUUUGGUGGAGCCUUUGGGGUAUUUUUGGGAUUAUCCAGCCUUGCUAACUCAAAGCUAGCUCUGUGUGCUUGUUGGUUUCCUGCGUGGAUCAUGACCUAGAAUGAGAUCUCUCAUAGAAACAGCUUUUUGUUUGGAGAUGAAGGGAUGAAGGCUGCUAUCAGGGAUGGACGUCAGCAACUACUGUGAAAAUAUUUAAGACAGAAGAAAUGAUUCGAGCAUCUAAAGAUGGAUGUCUUGUUUCUCUGCAGGGGAAACUGACUCACUCUGCGUGAGCUAAUGAUGUCUGUUGUUGCUUCAAUAAAAAAAAAGAAAUGAGCUAAUUAACUGAAGUGAAGUUUUAAUUUGCUUCAUUCGCCCACUCUCACACUGCUACACUUUUUUUUUUUUUAGAUCAGUUUGUUGGUUGCAUAACUUCUGUACAGGCAAAUUAUUUUUACAUCGUCACGAGUUGGAGGAACAAGUUAGAUUUAAAAUAAAUGAUCAGAACUCAAUAUCUCAUUUUCACGGUUGAUUAAAUCUGCCACGUUCGGCUGGUUGGUCUCAGAGUGAAUUUAACAGCUGCUGUAAAGUCUGCUACGUUAAAUAUGUAAUCCUCACACUCUGAGAUCAUCACUCGUUCUCUGAGCCAGAGGACGUAAACCUCAGAGUCCAGACAGAAACUUGAAGAGGUGAUCUGACUGGAAACACUGGGCAGCUGCUGGGGAAGCCGACAAAGAUAAAUGAGGACCUCUACAGGUGGUGACAUGAAACUGCAGAGACUGAGAGAUUUAGUUUUAUUCAAAAAUUGCAAACAAUAUCAAUUUAGUUUUAAAUCCGUUUUUAGGUUUAAAUUCUUGAUCAUAGAAAUCCUUCUUAACUCAUCAAACAUUAAUCUGCAGUAAAUCAAUUAACUGAAAAAAAAAUCUUGAUUCAACUUGGACCUUCAUGUAUUCAGCCAAGAUGAGUUCUAUUAUCAAAAACUUCAUAAAGUUUUCAAAUAAACACAAUAACAAAGUGUCCUAAACAAACCUUUUCCAGAGCAUCUGAUUUCCUGCUUGUUUAAAUUUAAUUAGGGUUAUGCUGCCCUCCUGUGGACAAACACUGUCCUGCAGGAAAUAUUUAAAAAUUACAAAUAGAGCUGAUAGACGAACUGUCAUCAAUUAAUCCUGACCCACUGAAAGAUAAAAUAACUGAUUUUAAAGUUAGGACACUGUAAAAAUAAACAAACAAACAAAAAUAUAAAAUCUUGUAACAUUUGCAGAUCUAAAGUCUUAUUUAGCUGGACUGGAGGCAGAUAUGUCUCCUUGGACUGUAAAAGCUGAUGGACCCAAUUCAGAGGUACAACAUUUAUUCAUCUCUUCAAAAUAAGAGCCUGAAUUAUACCGGAGUAAAGUAGCUCAAGAUAUAUAGAUUUAUUGGUUCCUGGUCUGAAACUGAAUAAAAAAGCAGCAAAAGUUCAAAUAAAAUCUCACAGAUAAUCGUGAAGUCAGGAGAACUACCAAACCCGUUUAAAACAUCAGAGCUGAAUCUGAUGGUAUUUAAACAGAAAACUGAAACAAACAAAUAAAAUAUGUUAGAAAAACUAUUUCCCUCUUCAUCUUGAGGAAAUAAACCCAAAAUAAACCCAAACUGUUGAUGGAUGACCAAAAGAAAAAAAAAACUGAAAAUGAAUGAAUCAAAAUGUCAGAAAACUGACACAAAAUUCCAAAUAACGAACAAAUCUAACAGCCAACGUUACGGUUGUGAGUAAACAACCAGAAAGAAUCAGUCUGGACUCGGCGUUCAGUUUCAUUACCAGAAUAUUUAUUUUAUUCUUUUUUUUCCCUAUUAAAACACUAGCUGCCAUAUUUGAUAAAACAGCCAACGGCUAAGUCCUCCAAUCAAAUCUCCUCAGACAGGUCACAUGGGUCUGUGGGCGUGUCCUUGGCUUGUUGCUUGUGGCAUGACCAAGCUGUUGUCAUGGCGACCGACAUAACAGGAAGUCUCAUAUUGCAUCAUUCAGAGGCCGGGUCUCCUUGUUUGGGGUCAAUUUGUCUUUCUGUCGUUCUGCUGCCUUGGUGUCAUGAAUAUAUAUUCAGAAUACACACACAGGGCACAGUGGCGCCUCCUGGAGGGAGUUUAAGGGAACUGAAUGUAAAGUAAAAAAAU